RNAcentral lists this ribosomal RNA (403 nucleotides) under Fusobacteriota bacterium. RNAcentral's name for it is "Fusobacteria bacterium partial 16S ribosomal RNA". It matches the Rfam family "Bacterial small subunit ribosomal RNA", at positions 355 to 776 of the family's 1533-position model. Lineage: Bacteria; Fusobacteriati; Fusobacteriota. The record is from RNAcentral.
UGGGGAAUCUUGCACAAUGGGGGAAACCCUGAUGCAGCGACGCUGCGUGUGCGAUUAAGGUUCUCGAAUCGUAAAGCUCUGUCCUAUGGGAAGAUAAUGACGGUACCUUGGGAGGAAGCACCGGCUAACUACGUGCCAGCAGCCGCGGUAAUAAGUAGCGUGCGAGCGUUGUGCGGAAUUACUGGGCGUAAAGGGUUCGCCGGCGGCAUGGCAAGUCCGUUGUAAAAGGAGUAAGCUUAACCUUCGUAAGCAUCGGAAACUGUCAAGAUUGAGUGAAAGAGAUGGAAAUGGAAUUCCUAGUGUAGCGGUGGAAUGCGUAGAUAUUAGGGAGUAUACCGGUGGCGAAGGCGACUUGCUGGACUUCUACUGACGCUGAAGAACGAAAGCGUGGGUAGCAAACAGG